Molecule: ribosomal RNA, 452 nt
Filed under: uncultured bacterium
Lineage: Bacteria
Description: bacterial SSU rRNA
Rfam family: Bacterial small subunit ribosomal RNA
Source: RNAcentral
AGUGAACGCUGGCGGCGUGCUUAACACAUGCAAGUCGAACGAGAACGGAUUAUAGCUUGCUAUAAUUGUCAGCUAAGUGGCGCACGGGUGAGUAAUGUAUAGGUAAUAUGCCUCUUACUAAGGGAUAACAGUUGGAAACGACUGCUAAUGCCCUAUAUGCCUUUAAUACAUAAGUAUGCAAGGGAAACGCUUUAGUGCUAGAGGAUGGGUCUGUAUGGUAUCAGCUUGUUGGUGAGGUAAUGGCUCACCAAGGCUAUGACGCCUAACUGGUUUGAGAGGAUGAUCAGUCACACUGGAACUGAGACACGGUCCAGACUCCUACGGGAGGCAGCAGUGGGGAAUAUUGGACAAUGGGCGAAAGCCUGAUCCAGCAAUGCCGCGUGAGUGAUGAAGGCCUUAGGGUUGUAAAGCUCUUUUACCCGAGAUGAUAAUGACAGUAUCGGGAGAAUAAG